Gambusia affinis (western mosquitofish) is the source of this 936-nucleotide long non-coding RNA. RefSeq lists it as uncharacterized. The transcript has 3 exons. The record is from RefSeq and is a predicted model, not a curated record. Lineage: Eukaryota; Metazoa; Chordata; Actinopteri; Cyprinodontiformes; Poeciliidae.
AGGUGUCAAAGCUAGCUGAUUUCCAGAUUUCACCUUUUGCCAGUGUAAAGCCUUGCUUUACUGCAUGAAGACACUGAAGGAAGUAUCCAUGCUUUUAUGUCAACACUUUGAGAUUACUAAUUUUCAGGCGGCGUGGUGAAGCAGGUUGAAGCCUCUGUGGUUCUGCUGGGUGAAGUCAAUGUUGGGCACUACGACCAGGAUCUCAAUGAUGCUGCGGAAAUCCUUAGCAAUGGCAUCAUGGAGCGGCGUGUCCCCGUAUGAAUCCUAACAGAGACAUGCAUGUACAACAUAUUGUGGUUAAUGCUGGAGAGGUAAGCACUCUGCAGCCGCUCACCUGGAGAUUGACGUCAGCCGCAUGUUCAGUCAGCACUCGCACCACGUCAGUGAAGCCCUUGUUGACAGCGAUGUGGAGCGCUGUGCACAUGGAGUUGUUCAGCACGUUGACAUUCGCCCCUUUGCUCAGCAGCAGCCGCGCAAUCUCCGCCUGGUUACUGAGUCAAAACAAACCAGUGCAGGUAAAUUAUACAUUCUUUUGGUUGGCAAGUCUUCAUUUUGAUCAAAUACUGAAUAAAUUGUGAACUAAAUUAGCAAUCAAUUAAUUGUUAACUGGAGUAGAUGGAUUCAAAAACUGAAAGAACAACAUAAUUGAGCCAAAACUGUACAAGAAAUAGAAAGAUUUUGCAUUAAAGAUGAACAGAAACCUUUGUCUGUAAAUAUGUUUUACCCAGAACUCCUCAAGCCUCACAGUUUCAGAACCACCUGGUUCAAAUUCUGUUAUAAAAAACUAAUAUUAAGGACCUUUUGCGAUCCAAUUAUUGAUUAAUCCAAAGAAUAGUCAACAGAUUUAUCCUACACAAUACUGCUUGUCAUGUGUUAAUGGUAGAAGCAUUUAUUUGGCUGCUCUUGCUUCCUUUGCUACAGAUGAUCAAAUGUGCA